RNAcentral lists this unclassified non-coding RNA (447 nucleotides) under Hevea brasiliensis (rubber tree). The record is from RNAcentral. Lineage: Eukaryota; Viridiplantae; Streptophyta; Magnoliopsida; Malpighiales; Euphorbiaceae.
UGGUCACAAUAUGGAAACUGCAGUGGCUACUUUGGCAAUGCCGGCCAGCACUAGCCUAUCUGGGUUUUCUGGGAGAUCUGACUUGCAACAUAACAUUUCACGUUUCCGCUACUCUGGGGAGAGUACAGUUCCCAUGAACAUGCAACAUGAUGGUGCUGAUACUCAACCCAUAUUUAACAGAAACCAGUCUGAAAUUGCCACAUCAAUGGCUGCGGCUGCUGCAGAUUUACCUUGCACUGUAAAGCUCAGGGUUUGGUCUCAUGAUAUACAAAAUCCCUGUGCCCCACUCAAUUCUGAAAGAUGUCGUUUAACUAUACCUCAUGCUGUCCUAUGUAGUGAAAUGGGUGCUCAUUUUUCACCUUGUGGAAGUUACUUAGCUGCCUGUGUUGCUUGCGUGCUUCCUAAUAUGGAAGCUGAGCCUGGAUUACAAACUUUAGUUCAACAAGA